CUUCUUGGUCCAUAGUUAAUCUUUGGCUCUCAGAUUAUUUGCUUCUUCUUUUUUUCUUCUUUUGUUGUCAUUUUUCUUCGUUCUCUAUCUUUAACUUCCUCUCUCCUCCAGUCGCUCUCACCUUAAACCAGAUCGAAAAACAUACAAAACACCAAACAACCAAAUCUGAAUCGUACCUUCGCCAUCCGUUUCGUCUUCCUUCUCUCUUAGCCUCUCACAUCCUGCUUCAUUUCCUAUGAAACCAAUAUUGGCCCAAAAUCCGUAAUACCCAAAUCAAAAAACCUAACACCUCAGCCCCAAAUACCUCCUCCAAUCUCACUUGCUCUCUCGACUUCUUGCUUAGCAAUCAGUUGCUUGUCGCACUCGAUUUCUGUACUUGCAAUCGAAAUCUUGUGGCUCGUUAGAAAUUGAAAGGGGCUUCUGGGGCGGAAGAGGACUGUGCACAUUGGGUCCAAGAAAGCUGAGAGAGGUAGUGAUGGCUCUUCUAUGGAAGGAAGAAGGUCUGGCCUUGUGCAUGAGAGUUCUUCUUCACAGAUUCGAGUUUCAGCUGUCCUGACAAAUGGUGCAUAUCUUUUGAACGUCGAUUGUGAUCACUACUUCAAUAACAGUAAAGCUGUUAAGGAAGCAAUGUGUUUCAUGAUGGACCCAGAUUAUGGGAAGAAGACCUGCUAAGUACAGUUCCCACAACGUUUCGAUGGGAUUGACAUGCAUGAUCGAUAUGCCAAUCGUAACAUUGUCUUCUUUGAUAUCAACUUGAAAGGGUUGGAUGGCAUCCAGGGUCCAGUUUAUGUGGGAACUAGUUGCUGUUUCAUCAGGCAAGCACUAUAUGGGUAUGAUCUUGUUUUGACUGAGGAAGAUUUGGAACCAAACAUCAUAUUCAAGAGUUGUUGUGGUUCAAGAAAGAAGGGAAAGACCAGCAAUAAGAAAUAUAUUGAUAAGAAGAGGGCUGCUCUUAGUUAUUUUAAUUUGAGAUUCCAGGGCUCUUUAGAGAAAUUCAACCGAAGCUAUGAUGGAGGCAAGGGUUGUUGAUAUUCUAAAUGCAAUGGAACCACUUGCAUAUAGGAAAAUGGACUUUGAAGAAUUUUGUGCUGCUGCAAUUAGCAAGCAUCAAUUGGAGGCCCUCGAAGGAUGGGAGCAGAUAGCAUCUACUGCUUUUUAAUUUGAUAUUCCAGGGCUGUCAAAAGAACUGAAUCGACCAUUCCCAUUUUCAAUAUGGAAGACAUUGACGAGUUAAGGUGAAGGAAAUCAACUAUUAUCAAUUAAACCUGAAGCCUUUGCUGAACUGAAGGUGGAAGAAAUCAAGAAUGGGCGGUUGGUAAUGACCUCAAUGUUUGGAUUCUUUGUUCAGGCUAUUGUAACUGGAAAAGGGCCAGUUGAGAACCUCUAACCACGUUGCUGAUCCCGUGGCCAACAAUGCAUGGGCAUACGCUACCAACUUCGUCCUCGGGAAGUGAAGAAACCUAAAUUGCUGGCAUUUCAUCUGCAACAUUAUCCAAAGUUGUUAUUUUUCUGUAUCCAGUAAAAAGAUGCAGCUUCUUUUGC
Molecule: long non-coding RNA, 1542 nt
Organism: Rosa chinensis
Lineage: Eukaryota; Viridiplantae; Streptophyta; Magnoliopsida; Rosales; Rosaceae
Exons: 6
Source: RefSeq, a predicted model, not a curated record